UGGGAGGAGGAGGAGACGGUGAGAUGAGGACCAAUUAAGACUUUAGGAACACCACCCUUCCCCCAGGAGUUGGACUAUGAACUCGGGUUUCCUGGUGUCAACGCAGCACCUCGCCACGAGGCCAGGGCUCUGCUGUCCUGGGAACAUGUCCUCUGGGGCAGAGGAGCCAGCUCUAGGGCUCGCACAGGCUGUCGGUGUCUUUGUCUUUCAAAGCUGGCCUCUACCUGCCCUGUGGUAUUUUGGUGUUAUGCAGCCAAUCUGCCAGAUGACCUUGUUUACAUGUGGCUUAAGGGCUUCACUAGAAAUCCUCUUUUCCAGGAUGAAAGAUGCAUAGAGAGGGAAAAUAAAAAAUCCCAAUGUUUUUCGGCACGUCUGUGCAUCUGGGGAAACCUCUCCUCCCAAACUGCAAUGUCCUCUCCUCUUGGAGAGAUGCCAAGUCCAGCCUGCUUGUUCCUCGCCAGGAGCUACAGCAAGGCUUAACGAUGCUGCAACAGAGAUCACACUCCAGACCUCAUUUUCCCUUGGCAAGAUGACGGCCCCCUCUACAGGCAUCCAAGGCACGGAGUCAUGGCACAGCUAGAACCAGAUGCAGCUGGCAAGCCAAGAGCCCAGCGCUGCUGAAGAAUCAGCUCCUGUGGGGUCAGGGGAAGAACAGAACAAAACCUUCUCCUCUCCAGACGUCCCACCGCUGCCUGCAGAUGUAGUCCUCCUGCCAGGUGUGAGCAUGUUCGACCUGCUGCUAGACUCGAGGCCUUUCUUGCCCUGGAUGCUCAGCGCUCUCACCAUCCACUGUGCUCAGCUGCAGAUAGGGCUGCUCAGCACCACUGAAAAGCGGCUAAAUAGAGAUUUUCAUGCUGACGUUAAGAUAGCCAGUGUGCAAACCUCUGCUACAUCUUCUGAGGGUGGAAAACAGACUGGAGAAAUGAAAGAGAAGGUGUCAUUCCAGUCUCGUGCCAGGUAAAAGGCAGCAAGCGUCACUGGUUUUGCUCCAAAUGGCAUGGCUUUGUGCAGGGCUUGGCAAGCUGGGGCUGCUGCUUCUCUCCAUGAUCCUUCCGUCCCCUGUGGCUGGCAGAGCAGCGGGUAGUUGGGUGCACGUGCCGGAGCCUGCGCUGCCCACGGGAUGGUACUGCAGUGGGAGCUAUGAAGAAACAGAAGUAGUUAGCAGCAAAUGAUGUGUGUCCUGGCUGGUGGUGUGACUGCUGUCGCCAGCCUGGCUGUGUGAUGGCCAGAGGGUUCCUGUGGUGCCGUUAUCUCACGUGGAGGCAGGAGGGGAAAUGAUAAGGCUCAGACGGUGCGGUUCGUGGUCCUCAACAAGCAGCGCAAGUGUGAGUCCCUUUGAAGUUUACUUGUGACCCUGCUGAGAUCAAUACCCUGGGCUAGCAAAGGGGAGGGAGAGAAUCAGGCAGAAACCUGGAAAAAAGGACUUUGAAAAUAAUAAGCCCUGUCUCUUCAGCCUGAGGGGAGAAAUGUUACCUCUCAGCCCCAGGAACCAGGUACUGGACUAGCCCCUAGAGAACCAAAUACACAUAGAAGGGCUGUGAUUGAAACCCCCCUUCUUGUGUUUUGCUGCUGCUGUUCAAAAUCAACUAUAUUUGCUUCCAGAAGAGCUGUUUUGUGUUUCUGUGGUGACACAUGGAUCCCAAUCUUACCGGGAAGCAGCAGAAUGGGCACCCCAGGACCUGGUCUGAUGAGUGGGGGUGCCCCAAGCUCUCCCCCGUCACUGGCACGACAGACCUGGCUCUGCUUCAGCCUCCCCGCUCUCAGAUUAGCCUGUGAGCUGCUGCGAGGGACGUGGGUCAGUGCAAACUUGCAGGCUGAGCCCUGCACUGGCACUGGAUGCCGGCACGCUUGCUCCUUCCCUUUCUGUGAUGGGGGCAAGGACCUUGCCAGCUGCUCGGUGAGAUUUGGUGGGGGGUCAUCUGCCGGAGCCCCCAGACAGAUGGGGAGGGUCAAAGGUACAGCUAGCCUCACACCAAGCUGCCCUCAGCAAUCCGGAUAUUAACAGUAUUGCAACACCAGUUAGAAGAAUUUGAAGGGUCAAAUUCCUUCAGAGCGUAACGUUGUUGAACUCGGUCGGUUUAGACCUCCAGUGAAUUUGGAGCAAGGUUUUGGAAGGCUGAUACCUUAACACAGACCUGUUUAAAGGAGUUAAUGUGUAACGGGCUACAAACCAUCUGGAGCAGACAGAUGGCCUGCCCUGUUUCAGCAGCUGGUUUUGGCAGCUGGGACCCUGUGCGGUUCUCAGUGAUGCUGAUGUGAAUCCAGAAGAAAGCAGUGGAGGGGGGGAAAGGACUGCAGUUGCUUGCAUCAUCUGUAGAGCAGAAUUAGGCCUUUUUCCUGCAGAUUUCCAGCAGGAUGACUACCCAGGGCUUUCUCUAGAUAUGUAUGUCCAUAUUCUGAAACGCAGCCAACAUCCCGCUACUAAAAUAAACCCCACAAAUGUACCGUGUCUGGAACCAUUGCGAUUAAGAGCUACCAAAUAAGAAAAAUGUCAGAACACAAUCGAUUUAUGUCAAAUGCUCAACUGUUUGAAGAGUGUCCCUUUCUUUUAAGAGACCUUGCAGCUGGCUGAUAUUCAGAUACCGUGGAAAAUCCACUCCCCUCUGUGCACCAUGGAGUUCAGAAUACAGCUAAAUUAAAAACUAAA
Molecule: long non-coding RNA, 2647 nt
Organism: Aquila chrysaetos chrysaetos
Lineage: Eukaryota; Metazoa; Chordata; Aves; Accipitriformes; Accipitridae
Exons: 3
Source: RefSeq, a predicted model, not a curated record